GCGUGGGUGAUGAAGGCCUUCGGGUUGUAAAGCCCUUUCGGCGGGGACGAUGAUGACGGUACCCGCAGAAGAAGCCCCGGCUAACUUCGUGCCAGCAGCCGCGGUAAUACGAAGGGGGCUAGCGUUGUUCGGAAUUACUGGGCGUAAAGGGCGCGUAGGCGGCUCUAUGCGUCGGGCGUGAAAGGCCUGGGCUUAACCCAGGAAUGGCGCCCGAUACGGUAGAGCUUGAGUGCGGGAGAGGAUGGUGGAAUUCCCAGUGUAGAGGUGAAAUUCGU
This 275-nucleotide ribosomal RNA is filed under the name uncultured bacterium. Its description in RNAcentral is "partial 16S ribosomal RNA". It matches the Rfam family "Bacterial small subunit ribosomal RNA", at positions 399 to 691 of the family's 1533-position model. The record is from RNAcentral.